GAUGAACGCUGGCGGCGUGCUUAACACAUGCAAGUCGAGCGAACAGACGCGGAGCUUGUUGCUCUGACGUUAGGGGCGGACGGGUGAGUAACAAGUGGAUAAUCUCCUUAUCAGACUGGGAUAACUUCGGGAAAACGGAGCUAAUACCGGAUAAUAUACUGAACCGCAUGGUUCAUUAGUGAAAGACGGUUUUGCUGUCACUUAUAGAUGGGUCCGCGCCGCAUUAGCUAGUUGGUGAGGUAACGGCUUACCAAGGCAGCGAUGCGUAGCCGCCCUGAGAGGAGGGUCGGCCGCACUGGAACUGAUGCGCGAUCCAGACGCCUACGGGAGGCGGCAGUAGGGGAUCUUACGCAAUAGGCGGAAACUUGACGGAGCAGCGACGCGUAGGGGGUGAAGGUCUUCGGAGCGUAAAGAUCUGCUUUUGGGGGUGAACAAAGGUUGAAUUGACUGUGGGCGGCUUGACGGUACCUGGACAAGAAGCCCCGGCUAACUACGUG
RNAcentral lists this ribosomal RNA (497 nucleotides) under uncultured bacterium. Its description in RNAcentral is "partial 16S ribosomal RNA". It matches the Rfam family "Bacterial small subunit ribosomal RNA", at positions 28 to 507 of the family's 1533-position model. The record is from RNAcentral.